Small nucleolar RNA from Dendrobium catenatum, 108 nucleotides. Lineage: Eukaryota; Viridiplantae; Streptophyta; Magnoliopsida; Asparagales; Orchidaceae. The record is from RefSeq and is a predicted model, not a curated record.
AAAGCAUGGUGAGGGCAUUUCUUAAGUAUUUUCUUAAAUCUCUCCCAACUUUCAUAAAAUUGAUUCUCCCUCAAACUUUUCAAAAGAUAUGAUAUCAUUCCUAAGUUU